RNAcentral lists this ribosomal RNA (440 nucleotides) under uncultured bacterium. Its description in RNAcentral is "partial 16S ribosomal RNA". It matches the Rfam family "Bacterial small subunit ribosomal RNA", at positions 338 to 795 of the family's 1533-position model. The record is from RNAcentral.
CCUACGGGGGGCAGCAGUGGGGAAUAUUGCUCAAUGGGGGAAACCCUGAAGCAGCGACGCCGCGUGAAGGAUGAAGGCUUUAGGUAUGUAAAGCUCUUUUUUUAGAGAAGAUAAUGACGGUAUCUGAGGAAUAAGCACCGGCUAACUACGUGCCAGCAGCCGCGGUAAUACGGAGGGUGCCAGCGUUAUCCGGAUUUACUGGGCGUAAAGGGGGCGUAGACGGGGUGAUAAGUCAGGAGUGAAAUGCUGCGGCUCAACCCCAGAACUGCAUUUGAAACUGUAAGGCUGGAGUGCAGGAGAGGUAAGUGGAAUUCUUGGUGUAGCGGUGAAAUGCGUAGAGAUCAGGAGGAACACCAAUUGCGAAGGCGGCUUACUGGACUGUAACUGACGUUGAUGCUCGAAAGCGUGGGGAGCAAACAGGAUUAGAUACCCGUGUAGUC